UGUAAAAAAUGUAAUUUUUUGAUCGUGAAAAUGUUCCUUUUGAAUGGGAUCACGUAUCGUCAAGAUUUCCAAGAGUUACAUCAUUUUUUAAGUCGUGUUCACUACACUCCCUGGGAAUUUGACAAAGCUGUUUAAAAAAUUCUGUAGUUAUUUCUUUGCAAUAAUGGAUGGAUACAAUGUUUGCGAUGAAAACCACGUUUAACCAAGAAAGAACAGGGUGCAUUUUACCUGACAUAGUUUAAAAUAAUGCCGAACCUAUCAUCACCUGAUUUUUAAACCAUUUGGAGAACCUGUUGCUACAGAUUGAAGUUCAGAAAUGGUUUUUUAGCCAUUCCGUAAUCCUAUUACUCAUAGAGGUUUUAACUGUUUGAACGUAUGUGCAGUACAAGAGAGUCGAUGGCGGAAUAUCAAGUACACCAUCAAUCCUCAACCAGACUAGGUAGGUAUGUACUGUUGUAAGUAUAGUGGUCUACGCUUGAUGAAUGGUGAUGAGAAAAUAUCCAGUACUCCAUCCUUAAUGAGUGACAGAAAUUUACCCAAUGAACUACAAGGAUCUCUGAGGAACGUUCUACUUCUGAUUACCUGCAACUCAGAUCAGCUUCAGCUGCUCGUCAUGGUAACGGCGUAAUGACAUCUAACAUCAUGAUAUGAACAGUUCCAGUUGCAGAUGUUAUAAAGAGUGUCAUUGGUUCAAGAGAAAUUCAACCGAGCCAUCUAAAAAGGACACCCUGUAUAAUUUAUAUUUCGCUACUUAUACUACACCAUC
Long non-coding RNA from Cimex lectularius (bed bug), 766 nucleotides. RefSeq lists it as uncharacterized. Lineage: Eukaryota; Metazoa; Arthropoda; Insecta; Hemiptera; Cimicidae. The transcript is spliced from 4 exons. The record is from RefSeq and is a predicted model, not a curated record.